Molecule: ribosomal RNA, 497 nt
Filed under: uncultured bacterium
Lineage: Bacteria
Description: partial 16S ribosomal RNA
Rfam family: Bacterial small subunit ribosomal RNA
Source: RNAcentral
GAUGAACGCUGGCGGCGUGCCUAAUACAUGCAAGUCGAGCGAACGGACGAGAAGCUUUCUUCUCUGAUGUUAGCGGCGGACGGGUGAGUAACACGUGGAUAACCUACCUAUAAGACUGGGAUAACUUCGGGAAACCGGAGCUAAUACCGCAUAAUAUUUUGAACCGCAUGGUUCAAAAGUGAAAGACGGUCUUUCUGUCACUUAUAGAUGGAUCCGCGCUGCAUUAGCUAGUUGGUAAGGUAACGGCUUACCAAGGCAACGAUGCAUAGCCGACCUGAGAGGAUGAUCGGCCACACUGGAACUGAGACACGGUCCAGACUCCUACGGGAGGCAGCAGUAGGGAAUAUUCCGCAAUGGGCGAAAGCCUGACGGAGCAACGCCGCGUGAGUGAUGAAGGUCUUCGGAUCGUAAAACUCUGUUAUUAGGGAAGAACAUAUGUGUAAGUAACUGUGCACAUCUUGACGGUACCUAAUCAGAAAGCCACGGCUAACUACGUG